This 1632-nucleotide ribosomal RNA is filed under the name Triticum aestivum (bread wheat). RNAcentral's name for it is "partial small subunit ribosomal RNA". The record is from RNAcentral. Lineage: Eukaryota; Viridiplantae; Streptophyta; Magnoliopsida; Poales; Poaceae.
AUGUCGUCCGCUGCAAUGUCCGAUGCCCAAACCUCCGGCGCCAUUGUCUCUUCCCCUAUCGCCUCGAUCCCCGCCGCGCUCGCCGUCCCGAUGAUCUCCGUCCGCCUCGGUCGUCACAACUUCAUGCUGUGGGGGGGCAUCACUAGCACCAUUCUUGCCGGUGCCAACCUCCACGGACACCUCGAUGGCACCAAGGAGGCACCGGCCAAAACACUCGUUGUCGGCACCGGCGACGCUUCUACCACCAUCACCAACCCGGAGUACCACCAAUGGUGGGUUCAAGAUCAGCACAUCAAGGGGCUUCUUCUCACCUCCAUGGAUGAGGAUAUUGCAUGCCAACUUAUUGGCUACGAGUCGGCGCAUGCGGUAUGGACAGUCGUCGCUGCCAUGUUCGGCGCCCAGAGCCGCGCCAAUGUCCGCCACAUCCGGCGGCAACUUCAGUCGCUGAGGAAGGACGAUAUGUCUGCCGCGGAAUACAUGCACAAGAUGAAGGCCCUGGCCGACACUAUGGCCACCGCCGGCUCUCCGAUCCGCGAUGAUGAGCUUAUCGAUCACAUCCUCACCGGCCUCGGCUCCGCCUACAACUCCAUCGCCGCCUCCUUGGGCAUGAGUAACGCACCCAUGCCCUACUCUAGUUUUUACUCAUUGGUUCUGUCCUUCGAGGCGAUGCAGGCACAACAGAGUGCGGUGGAGGGCUGGUCUCCCUCCGCGAACGCCGUGACCCAUUCGGGUUCGUACGGCACGGGCGGACGUGCGCCCUACUCCGAUCCCUAUCCCUCCCAUGGUGGGGGCGCCCAACUGAUGGACAUGGCCAGCCAGGGUAGAACCGCCAGGGCGGUAAUGGCGGCAACACCGGCGGCCGUGACCGCAACGCUGGUUAUGCCGGCAAUGGCCGGCAAGGUGGAGGGGGCAACGCCGGCACCAACAACGGCGGAGGAGGUGGGCGUCGUAAUCGCUGGCGUCCCCGGUGAUAUUGCUUUGAGUUCCCCCCAGGUACAUGUUGCUGCUCCGACGCCUCCUGAUGCGCCCGACAUGCAUGUCGCGCCGCCCAACGCAGGCGUGGCUGCCUCGCCCGAUGACACGACCGCGAACGCGGCUGGGUCGCCACCCUCGCCCGGUCCGUCGCCCGGGCCGCCACCCUCGCCUGUGCCGGUCCAGCACACCAUCAUCUCUAGGCCUGUGUCACCCAUUGCUGAGGUCCCCUCAGCCGCGACACCCUCGGUCGAGCCCUCAUCGUCGUCGUCUUCUCCUACUGGCGAUGCAGCUCCGGCGCAUGCUAUGGAGAGAUCUGCUGGAAAUUGGAGAUGCUCUGAGAUCGCCGCCGCCGCCGCCUCCUCUCCGAGUCUGGGCCACCUAUGCUGCGCGCCGCCGCGAACCCUCCCCUGGGGUGAGGCCGGAGCUUCGCCGCAGGAAUUCCGCGCCGCGCCGCGCCUCCCUCGUCGCUCGUCUCGUCCGCGCAAGACUUUGGUGGGUCUCCGUUCUCAAACCCUAGCUGCUGCUAGUACGAAGGCUGCGGCUUCAUACCCUCGUGUUGGAGUUUCUGGUCGCCACUCCAAGGUCGAGCCGUCGCCAACGUUCUCUCUGGUUGGUACAUCCCUGCCCCCUUCUCCAUAUUUCUCUCUUCCAUCUUGA